Molecule: ribosomal RNA, 496 nt
Filed under: uncultured bacterium
Lineage: Bacteria
Description: partial 16S ribosomal RNA
Rfam family: Bacterial small subunit ribosomal RNA
Source: RNAcentral
AUGCACGCUGGCGGCGUGCCUAAUACAUGCCAGUCGAGCGAACGGACGAGAAGCUUGCUUUUCUGAUGUUAGCGGCGGACGGGUGAGUAACACGUGGAUAACCUACCUAUAAGACUGGGAUAACUUCGGGAAACCGGAGCUAAUACCGGAUAAUAUUUUGAACCGCAUGGUUCAAAAGUGAAAGACGGUCUUGCUGUUACUUAUGGAUGGAUCCGCGCUGCAUUAGCUAGUUGGUAAGGUAACGGCUUACCAAGGCAACGAUGCAUAGCCGACCUGAGAGGGUGAUCGGCCACACUGGAACUGAGACACGGUCCAGACUCCUACGGGAGGCAGCAGUAGGGAAUCUUCCGCAAUGGGCGAAAGCCUGACGGAGCAACGCCGCGUGAGUGAUGAAGGUCUUCGGAUCGUAAAACUCUGUUAUUAGGGAAGAACAUAUGUGUAAGUAACUGUGCACAUCUUGACGGUACCUAAUCAGAAAGCCACGGCUAACUACGUG